CGUGGGUAACCUGCCUUAUAGUGGGGGAUAGCCUUUCGAAAGGAAGAUUAAUACCGCAUAAGAUUGUAGUAUCGCAUGAUAUAGCAAUUAAAGGAGCAAUUCGCUAUAAGAUGGACCCGCGUCGCAUUAGCUAGUUGGCGAGGUAAUGGCUCACCAAGGCGACGAUGCGUAGCCGACCUGAGAGGGUGAUCGGCCACAUUGGGACUGAGACACGGCCCAGACUCCUACGGGAGGCAGCAUG
Molecule: ribosomal RNA, 241 nt
Filed under: uncultured bacterium
Lineage: Bacteria
Description: partial 16S ribosomal RNA
Rfam family: Bacterial small subunit ribosomal RNA
Source: RNAcentral